GUGCUCACUUUGACAGCACACAUACUAAAACUGGAACGAUAUAGAGAUUAGCAUGAAUGGCCCCUGUACAAGGAUGACAUGCAAAUUUGUGAUGCAUUCCAUAUAUUU
Eptesicus fuscus (big brown bat) is the source of this 108-nucleotide small nuclear RNA. NCBI's taxonomy places the organism in Eukaryota, Metazoa, Chordata, Mammalia, Chiroptera, Vespertilionidae. The record is from RefSeq and is a predicted model, not a curated record.